GUGCUUACUUUUGCAGCACAUACACUGAAAUUGGAAUGAGACAGAGAAGAUUGGCCCCUCUGCAGGGAUGACAUGCAAAUUCGUGAAGCAUUCCAUAUUGGG
This is a small nuclear RNA of Suricata suricatta (meerkat), 102 nucleotides long. The record is from Ensembl. NCBI's taxonomy places the organism in Eukaryota, Metazoa, Chordata, Mammalia, Carnivora, Herpestidae.